RNAcentral lists this small nucleolar RNA (94 nucleotides) under Salix viminalis (osier). Its description in RNAcentral is "Small nucleolar RNA snoR31". It matches the Rfam family "Small nucleolar RNA snoR31". The record is from Rfam by way of RNAcentral. RNAcentral also lists the same sequence under 2 other names. Lineage: Eukaryota; Viridiplantae; Streptophyta; Magnoliopsida; Malpighiales; Salicaceae.
AUGAUAAUGAUGAAGCAAUAAUACUAUAAUCCAACACUUGAUCUGAGACAUUUACUGUCGAUUGAUGUUUAAAAAUAUAUGCUUCUGAAUCUAC